This 500-nucleotide long non-coding RNA is filed under the name Vitis vinifera (wine grape). Its description in RNAcentral is "long non-coding RNA (VVIN_LNC004852)". Lineage: Eukaryota; Viridiplantae; Streptophyta; Magnoliopsida; Vitales; Vitaceae. The record is from RNAcentral.
AGUAAUUCACAAGGCGGAGAUAUAAGAUCAUUCAGAGUGCUUGAAAGUUGAAAACAAGAAGUUGCAUGCUGAUCUAGAUGUCGAAAUCAUUUUGAACAGCCAAACAGUGACCUAACAUGAUAGAGAGCAUGCUUGUGUGCACACAAACACACAUUGCACGGUUUUGGGAUAAAAAAUUUUAAGCUCAAAUUUCACUCAUGUUAUACGAGGGAAAAGAGGCAAAAUAUUCAGUAAUGAGAGACCAAAUAGGUAGAAACUCAGCUUCAUCAGAAAUAAUGUAAAAAAAAAUAGAGUAAUCAAUCAACCUGCUCCACUUGUUCUAUAAUUUAAACACAGAAUAACUCCUCUUACCUGAUAUCCUUAAUGUCAAGUCCUCGAGCUGCAACAUCGGUGGCCACAAGUACCGGGGACCUCCCAGUGCGGAACUGAUUCAAUACAUAAUCCCUCUCACCUUGAGAUUUGUCUCCAUGAAUGGCAGCAGCUCCAAAGGGGCGGGUUAG